RNAcentral lists this long non-coding RNA (391 nucleotides) under Ananas comosus (pineapple). Its description in RNAcentral is "long non-coding RNA (ACOM_LNC027942)". The record is from RNAcentral. Lineage: Eukaryota; Viridiplantae; Streptophyta; Magnoliopsida; Poales; Bromeliaceae.
GAAAUCAGACUUUUUCAAUUUCACUCCGUUUUGCCUCGUUUUCGCUCGUUAGGCCUCCGAUUCAUCUCUAAUCAUCCCGAGACCCACGAAACACAUUUUGAGCGCGUUUAGGCCAUCUUUCCUUCUACACUUUGCCGGAUUUAGGCCAAAGUUCAAUCAUUACUUUUCGAGUUCGGUUUUCACACCCGACGCGUACCGAAAACACUCGAAUGCCCCCAAACUUCACCGAAACUGCUCUAACAACUUUUCGAGCAAGUUCCGACCGAAACUUCAUAACCGUAGGAGCUCAGUAUAUCACACCCUCAAACCCAAUACUAACUCUAGCUUUCCUAUUUCUCCAAAUAUCCCAAAAUUACACGGAGAAACAAGCAUAGAAUAACCUAGGGAUCCU